CAUCAAGAUUCUGCAGACACUUCUCAAAAUACAUUUUCACUAUUUGUUUUGAGCCAUGGACCAAAUUUCUUGGAAUCAUUUUUUUGUAAAUACUAGCUGACACAUUUUGUAACAACUGUUUUGCAGUGACCAUGUUAUUAAUAUCGCCUGACGUGUUCUUUUUGGGGCUCUUAUUUGGAAACUCCUUGUGAGAAGAACAUGUCAAAGUGUGGUGUGG
Molecule: non-coding RNA, 217 nt
Organism: Pelobates cultripes (western spadefoot toad)
Lineage: Eukaryota; Metazoa; Chordata; Amphibia; Anura; Pelobatidae
Source: the annotation of a GenBank genome assembly